AUGGCAAGACGAAAAAAAUCGGCAAGACGAAAAAAAUGGACAGGACGAACAUGAUAAGUUAAACACACUAAAAAAAAUGACACCUAAUGAAGAAGAAAAAAAGAGUAAAGUUUCUGAAAAUAAAUAUAUACAUAUGAUAAAGAAUGGAUCCAACAAAAAUGAGUUAUAUAAAAAAAAUAAAAAAAAAAAUACAGAUUUAAUCGAUAAUAAUAAUAAUACUACUACUACUUCUACUGCUACUACUACUGCUACUACUACUGCUACUACUACUACUACUACUAUUGAUAAUAAUGUGAAAAUAAAAGCACAGACAGCAGAACAGACAAAAGAAGAAAACUUAAUUGAUAAAAUAAAUGUAAAUAAUAUACUUAAUUCCAAUUUUAAUAACUUUUUAUUAUUAUAUAAAACUAAAAAAAAAGAACCUAUAAAAAAUAAUAAUGAAGAUGAUAAUUUUUUUUAUAUGCUAAAAAAUAAAAAUAUUUUAACUUCGAAAAAUAGAAGUAAUAUAUAUAACGAAAACAAAAAUGUAAGUGAAAAUGUAAAUGAAAACUGUUAUUUUGAAAAUUAUUAUGAACAAUUUAAAAAUUUAAAAAAAAAAGAUCAUGAACAAAUAAAUGGGAACACGAACAAUAAAACUGAUAAAAUAAUUUAUACUCACACGUCCAACAAAAACGUAACUACUAUUAAUGGAAGUAGUGAUAAUGGGGGUAGUAAUAAUUUAAGUAGUGAUAAUUUAAGCAAUGAUAGUAGCAAUAGUAGUAAUAGUAGCAAUAGUAGCAAUAGUAGCAAUAGUAGCAAUAGUAGCAAUAAUAGCAAUAGUAGCAAUAGUAGCAGUAGUAGUAAUAGUAACAAUAGUAGUAAUAGUAACAAUAUUAGUAAUAGUAACAAUAGUAGUAAUAGUAACAAUAGUAGCAAUAGUAGUAACAUAAAUAGCAACAAAAUAGAUAAUGCUGGUAAGGCAUUAAAUAUAUACGAAAACAUAUAUAAAAAAAAAGAAAAACAUAAUAUAUAUAAUAAUAAAGAGAAUGAAAGUUUUCUUUUUAAUAGUGAUGUUGUAUUUAAUAGUAAAAAUAGCAGCUACACAAGAGAUAAUCAUAUGUGUCAGGAGGUAAAUAAAAAUGUAACUAAAGACCAAAGUUAUAAUUCUAGCAGUACCGAUAACAAUAAAAAUGACAACAAAAGUGAAAGUAAUGACGAAGAUAGCGACAUUGAAGAUAUAAAAAAACGUCUUAAAAAACAAUCUUAUAUUAAUAAAAUUAAAAAAAAAAAAAAAAAAAAAAAAAAAAAAAAAAAAAAAAAAAAAAAAAAAAAUUUAAUUUUUGUUAUUUCGAAUGUUUUAUAAUUAUCAUUACUACCAUUGUUACUAUAUUUAUUAUUAUGAUUUUUUUUUGUUUUGUUUUGUUUUUAACCCGUUUGGUUUUAAAUGUUCAUAUAUAUACAUACAUACAUAUUCAUGUGCAUAUUACUUAUAUAUUUUCAUAACAGACAAAUCAUAUUUUAUAUAUUAACGCAUAAUUAUGUGAUUGUUUUUUUUUCUAUAAAUACAUAGAAUACAGUAAAAAUUAACUACAUUCAUGUUUCUUAUGCAAAAAAAACGGUAAUAUAUAUACACCUAUAUAUCUACA
This is a long non-coding RNA of Piliocolobus tephrosceles (Ugandan red Colobus), 1625 nucleotides long. Lineage: Eukaryota; Metazoa; Chordata; Mammalia; Primates; Cercopithecidae. The record is from Ensembl.